RNAcentral lists this ribosomal RNA (301 nucleotides) under uncultured bacterium. RNAcentral's name for it is "partial 16S ribosomal RNA". It matches the Rfam family "Bacterial small subunit ribosomal RNA", at positions 509 to 808 of the family's 1533-position model. The record is from RNAcentral.
CAGCCGCCACGGUAAUACGAGGGGGCUAGCGUUGUUCGGAAUUACUGGGCGUAAAGCGCACGUAGGCGGAUAUUUAAGUCAGGGGUGAAAUCCCGCAGCUCAACUGCGGAACUGCCUUUGAUACUGGGUAUCUUGAGUAUGGAAGAGGUAAGUGGAAUUGCGAGUGUAGAGGUGAAAUUCGUAGAUAUUCGCAGGAACACCAGUGGCGAAGGCGGCUUACUGGUCCAUUACUGAUGCUGAGGUGCGAAAGCGUGGGGAGCAAACAGGAUUAGAUACCCGCGUAGUCCCUGUCUCUUAUACA